GCGACCGUUGCCACAGGUAAAUCUAAUAGAGGAUAAUAUUGUUUUUAUUUUAAUUUCUUUGAGUGUGAACACGUAAAGUUAGUUUUAUUAUUUGCAGUGUGUGUGACUAAUUUUUGUGAAAUAUGUCAACAAAAAACGAGAUUUCUUAUGCCGAGGACCGAUGUCGAGAAAUCGAAGAACAAGUAAAAGAGCUGGAAAAAAAAUUGGAAGAACAUCCCGAAAACCUGAAAAACAAAGCCCUCCUGGUAGAACUUAAAGAAGUACAAAAAUUACUGAAAAAACAUACCGAACAACUGGAACAUCUUAGAAGCCACGAAUCGCAACCACUAAAAAUCGUAAUGGGACUUACUUUGGUGAUUUUUAUUUUUUGGAUGAUAUUCGUGUUGGGUAGUAACUGGUGGAAUGCGGUAGAAGAAAAGACUGGUGUAAAAAUGAGUAUGGAUAUGUAAGGCUGAAAAAGACCAAUAUUAUAUUAAGGAAUUUUAAAUGUAGGAGAAGGAUGUUAUUUAUUAUAAACACUAUACAGUUUAUUUCAUAGAAAUAUUUAAUUCACAGAGCACUUCACAGCUCUUCAAAACCCUUUCAUUAAAUUAGCUAUAUCUUUGAACAAAA
This is a long non-coding RNA of Anthonomus grandis grandis, 612 nucleotides long. RefSeq lists it as uncharacterized. The transcript is spliced from 2 exons. The record is from RefSeq and is a predicted model, not a curated record. NCBI's taxonomy places the organism in Eukaryota, Metazoa, Arthropoda, Insecta, Coleoptera, Curculionidae.